UUAUGGUUAAUAUUCCAUGACCCGCACGUCUGCGAUGGAGGGACGGGGUUUAGUAACGAGAGCGACCUAUUGGAUUGUCGUUUUUGCUGUAAGGGCGUGCUUUAGGAAAAUCCGGAGCAUAUAACCCAAGCAGAGAAGAAAAGUGUGUUUUCGGACAUGCUGAUUCUCGUGAGCAGACCUUCAAGAAAAACUUCUAAGCUCUAGAACGUGCGGACCGUACCGCAAACCGAAACAGGUGUUCAGCUCGAGUAGAGUAAGGCGAACGAGUGAGAAAUCUCCAAGGAACUCGGCAAAAAAGCAGCCGUAACUUCGGAAUAAGGCUUGCCCCAGCAAUGGGGCCGCAGCUAAAGUAUCUCUGGCAACUGUUUAUCAAAAACACAGCUCCCUGCGAACUCGUAAGAGGAUGUAUAGGGGGUGACACUUGACCAAUGCCAGAAGGUCAAAUAUCGGCGGUGAAUGGAUCUUCGGAUUUAUUUGCUGACUGAUAUAAGCCCUGGUGAAUGUCGGCCGUAACUAUAACGGUCCUAAGGUAGCGAAAUUCCUUGUCGGGUAAGUUCCGACGCGCACGAAUAGUGUAAUGACUGGAGAACUGUCUCGGAGAUCCGCUCGGUGAAAAUACAAUACCGGUGAAGAUGCCGGUUACCUGCAGUUAGACGAAAAGACCCCAGGAGCUUUACUGCAACUUGAUAUUGAGAAUACGUUUUAUCUGCGUAGCAUAGUGGUGAGAGGUUAUGUGCACGGUCUCGGCUGUGUAAUACUCGUCAGUGAAAUACCCAUCUGAUAAAAUGUGUUUUCUAACCCUCGCGGCAAAAACGCGAAGAGACAGUAUCUGGCGGGCAGUUUUAGUGGGGCGCUAUCCUCCUAAAAAGUAACGGAGGAGUUUAUAAAGGUCAGCUAGGCGCGAAUGGAAACCGUGCCGAUAGUGUAAUGGCACAAGCUGGCUUAACUGUGAGGCGUACAUGCCGAACAGAUGCGAAAGCAGAACAUAGUGAACCGACCAUUCGCAUUAGACGCGGUGGAAGAUUAUCGGAUAAAAGCUACCCUGGCGAUAACAGGCUAGUUCCGCCUAAGCGUCCAUAGCGACGGCGGAGUUCGGCACCUCGAUGUCGGCUCAUCAUAUCCUGGGGGUGAAGAAGCUCCCAAGGGUUUGGCUGUUCGCCAAUUAAAAUGAUACGCGAGCUGGGUUCAGACCGUCGUGAGACAGGUUGGUCUCCUAUCUACUGCAGGCGUUGAUUCUUGAAAAGGUUUGCUCCUAGUACGAGAGGACCGGAGUGAACGAACCUCUGGUGUGAGAGCUGUUCCUGCCAAGGGCACUGCUCUGUAGCUAAGUUCGGUUUGGAUAACCUCUGAAAGCAUCUAAGAGGGAAGCCAGCUUUAAGAUGAGGAAUCGUUUGAGGGCCGUGGGAGAUGACCACGUUGAUAGGCACUAGGUGUAAGCACAGUAAUGUGUUCAGCCGAGGUGUACUAAUUCCCCGAUUCU
This 1480-nucleotide ribosomal RNA is filed under the name metagenome. RNAcentral's name for it is "bacterial LSU rRNA". It matches the Rfam family "Bacterial large subunit ribosomal RNA", at positions 1422 to 2925 of the family's 2925-position model. The record is from RNAcentral.